UGGGGAAUUUUGGACAAUGGGCGAAAGCCUGAUCCAGCAAUGCCGCGUGUGUGAAGAAGGCCUUCGGGUUGUAAAGCACUUUUGUCCGGAAAGAAAUCCUUGGCUCUAAUACAGUCGGGGGAUGACGGUACCGGAAGAAUAAGCACCGGCUAACUACGUGCCAGCAGCCGCGGUAAUACGUAGGGUGCAAGCGUUAAUCGGAAUUACUGGGCGUAAAGCGUGCGCAGGCGGUUUGCUAAGACCGAUGUGAAAUCCCCGGGCUCAACCUGGGGAACUGCAUUGGUGACUGGCAGGCUAGAGUAUGGCAGGAGGGGGGUAGAAUUCCACGUGUAGCAGUGAAAUGCGUAGAGAUGUGGAGGAAUACCGAUGGCGAAGGCAGCCCCCUGGGCCAAUACUGACGCUCAUGCACGAAAGCGUGGGGAGCAAACAGGAUUAGAUACCCUGGUAGUCCACGCCCUAAAACGAUGUCAACUAGGUUGUUGGGGAUUCAUUUCCUUAGUAACGUAGCUAACGCGUGAAGUUGACCGCCUGGGGAGUACGGUCGCAAGA
This 549-nucleotide ribosomal RNA is filed under the name uncultured bacterium. RNAcentral's name for it is "partial 16S ribosomal RNA". It matches the Rfam family "Bacterial small subunit ribosomal RNA", at positions 355 to 893 of the family's 1533-position model. The record is from RNAcentral.